Molecule: ribosomal RNA, 189 nt
Filed under: Virgibacillus sp. IRW2-8
Lineage: Bacteria; Bacillati; Bacillota; Bacilli; Caryophanales; Bacillaceae
Description: partial 16S ribosomal RNA
Rfam family: Bacterial small subunit ribosomal RNA
Source: RNAcentral
CGCUAGUAAUCGCGGAUCAGCAUGCCGCGGUGAAUACGUUCCCGGGUCUUGUACACACCGCCCGUCACACCACGAGAGUUGGUAACACCCGAAGUCGGUGAGGUAACCUUUUGGAGCCAGCCGCCGAAGGUGGGACCAAUGAUUGGGGUGAAGUCGUAACAAGGUAGCCGUAUCGGAAGGUGCGGCUGG